This is a long non-coding RNA of Brassica rapa (field mustard), 1100 nucleotides long. RefSeq lists it as uncharacterized. NCBI's taxonomy places the organism in Eukaryota, Viridiplantae, Streptophyta, Magnoliopsida, Brassicales, Brassicaceae. The record is from RefSeq and is a predicted model, not a curated record.
UGGCAUUUCAUAGCAAGCUGGAUUUAUACGCAAGGGAGCCAAGAAUUGUUCUUGUCACAGGCAUCAAUCCUAAGAAUGUUUCGGGUAAGAGAGCAUUUGUUUUGGCUGUUAUUUCAUUCGUCGAUGAUAUUCCCAUGGUCACGUUUGGUUAGCAAUUUUUACAUAACUCCACACCGUUUUGACAGGCAAGUUAUAUUUGAAUGGUACUUCUGCUACACGUGUUUACUUCGACUCUGAGACCGUAGUAGGAAAAGAUGAGUUUGACAGGCGAGUUCUUUAAUUUUUUUAUUCUGUCCUCGAUAUAUUGACUGUCUGAAUUCCAUGCCGUUUACUGCAUUUGUAAUUUAAUUGCCUUGCAGAUUGCCAGAUGUUGGGACAGAACAGUCAGGGUCUUCAUCAAAGGUUGUUCACGCUGAAAAGAUUGAACUUCUCACUGUUGCUGAGCUUACCCAAUUUGUUAUCUCCGGUGAUCCUCAGGUAAAUAAUGGUACAUUCUAAAUUACACCAUUCAUAGGAUAAGCUUGAGUAAUCUACGGACAAUUCAGAUAAGCAAUUGUGUAACAUUUUGAAUAGUUACUUUGGACAAGUUAAUGUUUGUGAGUUUCUCUUACCUUGACAGAUCAUCGAGUUUCUCAGCAAUCUGAGGGUUGGUGUUAUAUUGGCUGCGCCGUUUGUUCAAAGAAACUCAUCCGCGAGGAAUCGUCGUUCACAUGUGCCUCGUGCAAUGUAACCAAUGCCGUGGCUAAACUCAGGUAAUUAUUUUAACUUUUAUGAUUGUUGCUUGCUGGAAUCAUAACCUAAUAUUCAUUUCUGUAUGACAGGUAUAGAGUGGUUCUUUCUGUGUCAGACAACACAGGCUCAGCGGCUUUCGUUGGCUUUGAUACAGAGGUUGCUAAACUGACUAAUGUUCUGGCUUCUGAGGCUGCACAGAUUGUGGGGAUUGGAAUCAAUGCUCAGGUGGACACUGACCUUCCUCAAGCUCUCGCUGGUAUUGUUGGGAACACCUAUACCUUCCAGCUCAGGCUAACAGACUUCAAUUUCACUGCAAACCACCAAACCUUCACAAUUUCCCGCAUAUUCCCAGCACGAGAGCUUGCACC